This 532-nucleotide ribosomal RNA is filed under the name uncultured bacterium. Its description in RNAcentral is "bacterial SSU rRNA". It matches the Rfam family "Bacterial small subunit ribosomal RNA", at positions 8 to 526 of the family's 1533-position model. The record is from RNAcentral.
AGAGUUUGAUCCUGGCUCAGGACGAACGCUGGCGGCGUGCUUAACACAUGCAAGUGGAGCGACGAACCAGGGCUUGCCCUGGGGCAGAGCCGCGAACGGGUGAGUAACACGUGGGUAACGUGCCCCAAUGAUCGGGACAACCCGGGGAAACCCGGGCUAAUACCGAAUGUGCUCCCGUCACACCAGUGAGGGGUGGAAAGGAAGCUUCGGCCUCCGCAUUGGGAUCGGCCCGCGGCCCAUUAGCUUGUUGGUGAGGUAACGGCUCACCAAGGCUGCGAUGGGUAGCUGGUCUGAGAGGACGAUCAGCCACACUGGGACUGAGACACGGCCCAGACUCCUACGGGAGGCAGCAGUGGGGAAUCUUGCGCAAUGCGCGAAAGCGUGACGCAGCAACGCCGCGUGGGGGAAGAAGGCCUUCGGGUUGUAAACCCCUUUCAGGAGGGACGAAGGUUGGGCGGUUAAUAGCCGACCUGACUGACGGUACCUCCAGAAGAAGCCCCGGCUAACUACGUGCCAGCAGCCGCGGUAAUAC